Molecule: long non-coding RNA, 513 nt
Organism: Nannospalax galili (Upper Galilee mountains blind mole rat)
Lineage: Eukaryota; Metazoa; Chordata; Mammalia; Rodentia; Spalacidae
Exons: 3
Source: RefSeq, a predicted model, not a curated record
GCCGGAAGUAGAGCCGCGCGGAAGGGGCGGGACGAAUUCGUCCUCGAGGGAGAGGAAGGAGCGGCAUUGGCCCAAGAGAGACGCCCUUGCGCGGGAGGGGGCCGGGCCGGGAAGGAGCUGGGCCGUGAGAGGGGAGGGGCCCCCGAGGGACUCCUGGGUCUGGUCAGGUCGACGGCGCUACGACCGGGCCUGGAGGAUCUUGGCCUGCGGAGACCCCCUGGGCAGGACGGAACGGCGGGGCCCUAAUGACGUUGAGGCUGCUGAGGCCCACGGGAUGCCCAGGUCGCCCCCUGCCGGUCCGCAGACCACUGCAGGGCACUGCUGCACAGGCUGCGUCGCCCUCUGCCGGGUGCGCUGACGCCAAACACCUACGAAGUGAUGGCAUCCAAGGAUGACAUAAACCGCAGUUUGUCAUCACCGGAGUUUAGUAUCCUCUAGGGGAAACAUGAGCAAAUGGGACUCCCACAUGUGUGCAGAUGCCUAUGGAGCCCCGAGGAGGGCCUCAGAUCCCUU